This 415-nucleotide ribosomal RNA is filed under the name uncultured bacterium. RNAcentral's name for it is "bacterial SSU rRNA". It matches the Rfam family "Bacterial small subunit ribosomal RNA", at positions 361 to 774 of the family's 1533-position model. The record is from RNAcentral.
AUAUUGGUCAAUGGACGCAAGUCUGAACCAGCCAUGCCGCGUGAAGGAUGAAGGUCCUCUGGAUUGUAAACUUCUUUUAUCUGGGACGAAAACGGGAUUUUUAUCUCAAUUGACGGUACCAGAGGAAUAACCACCGGCUAACUCCGUGCCAGCAGCCGCGGUAAUACGGAGGGUGCGAGCGUUAUCCGGAUUUACUGGGUUUAAAGGGUGCGUAGGUGGGCUUAUAAGUCAGUGGUGAAAUCUCCGAGCUUAACUUGGAAACUGCCGUUGAUGCUAUAGGUCUUGAAUUAUCUGGAGGUAAGCGGAAUAUGUCAUGUAGCGGUGAAAUGCUUAGAUAUGACAUAGAACACCAAUUGCGAAGGCAGCUUACUACAUAUAAAUUGACGCUGAGGCACGAAAGCGUGGGGAUCAAACA